RNAcentral lists this ribosomal RNA (330 nucleotides) under uncultured eukaryote. RNAcentral's name for it is "partial 18S ribosomal RNA". It matches the Rfam family "Eukaryotic small subunit ribosomal RNA", at positions 1470 to 1796 of the family's 1831-position model. The record is from RNAcentral.
CCCUUAGAUGUUCUGGGCCGCACGCGCGCUACACUGACGCAGUCAGCGAGCAUGUCCUACGCCGAUAGGUGCGGGGAAUCUUGUGAAACUUCGUCGUGCUGGGGAUUGAUUAUUGAAAUUAUUGAUCAUCAACGAGGAAUUCCUAGUAAGCGCAAGUCAGCAGCUUGCGUUGAUUACGUCCCUGCCCUUUGUACACACCGCCCGUCGCUACUACCGAUUGAAUGGUUUAGUGAGAUCUUCGGAUUGGUGCCACCGAGUCCAGCAAUGGACACGGUGAAUAUCGAAAAGUCGAUCAAACUUGAUCAUUUAGAGGAAGUAAAAGUCGUAACA